UAUCAAGUGUGAAAGCAUGAAAACCAUUAAACUUAUCAUAUAUUGUUGCAUCUAUGUUCUCCCAGUUUGCUCAACUCAUCAACGAACAACCAUGGUAGCAGAAGCAAUCACUGACUAUCGUGAUUUCCUCAUCAAUUUAACGGAAAGCAGCGUACCUCUUCGCAUACUUGAACACACCAUUACACCGCACAUCAUUGGCUCCAAUCAGCUAAAGCUCACCGGCCGUUAUGUUUUCCUUGCACCAACCGAGAACAACCUUUACUUCGUUGGAUUUGAGAACGUGAUAAACGCAGCCGAUGCCAUCGACAUCAUAAGUGAUUUGAUUCUGACAAGAUCUGUUACGAGUAUCUACAUGAUAAAACGAAAGAAUGAAUCAAAUAUUUGUAAUUAGUUUGAA
Long non-coding RNA from Aedes aegypti (yellow fever mosquito), 397 nucleotides. RefSeq lists it as uncharacterized. The record is from RefSeq and is a predicted model, not a curated record. The transcript has 3 exons. NCBI's taxonomy places the organism in Eukaryota, Metazoa, Arthropoda, Insecta, Diptera, Culicidae.